Mus musculus (house mouse) is the source of this 5398-nucleotide long non-coding RNA. RefSeq annotates it as predicted gene, 26793. The transcript has 2 exons. The record is from RefSeq and is a predicted model, not a curated record. Lineage: Eukaryota; Metazoa; Chordata; Mammalia; Rodentia; Muridae.
UUUCCUCCCUGAAGGUACAGUCUUCCUCCGAGUAGCGAAUCUUUGGAGAAAGAGACAAGAGGCUGUGUGCAUGAGCAAGCACCACCGUGGACCGUCCCAGUGGUAACCAGCAGAGUGCUUCUUCUAUCAACCGCCUUUAAGCACACAGAAAUCAAGGCAUGGCUGAGCUCGACUACCAUCCCACUCCUUGAGAGGUGGAGGCAAGAAAUCCAGAGUUGAAGAGCAGCUGGGGCUACAUGAGAUUGUUGGCUCAUCCCAGAAGUAUCCAGCAACUUUCUCUUGAGACAGAUUCUUACCAUAUGUAGCCCUGCCUGGCCUAGAACUCAAAGAUCCACCUGCUUCUGUCACCAAAUGCAGGGAUUAAAGGCAUCUAUAACCAUGUUAGGCCUGGAUUUUCAUUUUGAAACAAAUACCUCCGGGACCAUGUUGACUUUGAACUCCUGAUCCUUCUGCCUCCACUUCCCAAGAGCUGGGAUGACAAGGAGCCCCACUGAGCUGGGUUUAUGCAGUGCUCAGUUGAACCCAGGGCUUUGAGUGUGCUAGGCAAACCACUCCACUAGCUCAAUUUCCCAGCCAUGUCAUGUUUUUUGAGACAGGCUCUAACUCUGAGGCCUUUACCUCUCAGCACUCCUCCUGCCUUCGCUUCCAGAAGAUUGGAAUUUUCCAAUUAUCCACCCCAACUGGAUAUCCACGCAGAAGCUGGCAGUGUGCAAAUCUUCCUGGUUUUUAACUAGUGACAUUGAAAUCUGAUCAUUAUCAACUUUCCAAAACCCUGCUCCUGGUUAGAUUACAUUUUCUGGGUAGUAACUGCAGCCUCGCCUGGGACCAGGGAUAAAGGGAUCCUUUCUGUCUAGACCUGCAGCUCAGGAAGCUUUUCUAAUGCUUAGGUGGUUGAGUCUCCUACCAUUGUGAGAAGAGAAGCCCCCUGGAUCUGCCGGCAGCUGUCCUGGAUCUGCCGGAUAAUCCGCAACUCCUCCCGCCCACCAUGCCAGGGACCAAGCCCACACUCUGUGGGUGGCCGGAAAUGAAUGCAGUGGGAAGCUGUCCCUAAUCCUAAGUACCAGAAUAUUCCUAGUCCCCAGGCUUGAGGUACCAGUGGUAGUCUCCCAGACUGGUGCCAUAUUCCCUUGGGGAGCCUACAUGGCUCAAUAAGCACAGGCUGUGUCUGCCUAAGCAUGCAGAGGUCAUUGAACUGCAGGUAGAAGACAGUUGGCAGAUAAGGCUCUGAUAACAGGCUAAUUCCAGGAACCAAUUGCUCCUGCCCUGGCUGAUGGCACUGAGACAGAGCCACCAGGCAGGAGGGGCCAUGUUCCCUGAAAAAAAAUGUGAACUGUAGAUAAACACAGGAUGUAUUUCUCCUGGAGAAUUCAUAUGGACAACUGGUCACUCUUUUUUUUUUCCAUAUAGAAACAAUGGAUUAUGGGGCUUCUAUUUUUAAAAAGGAGAGUCUGAAAUGAAUUAUGCCCACCAGAUCCAGGGUGGCACUAGAAUUGGGGGGCAAAGCUCCCAUGGGGCCUUCCUACACUAUUUACAUUAGUGCAGAAUGGAGGUCGGACUCCUUGCCCAGCACAAAUAAAGACUUCAGGAAGAUACAGGCAGGAGAUUUGCUUGGGCCUGGGUGUCAGCUUUCAGCCAGGCAGGGGACCCCCUCCUCUGAAGCCCCUUCCUUUCUCUGCAGACCCCUUUCUUUCUUUCCUUCUUUCUUUCUUUCUUUCUUUCUUUCUUUCUUUCUUUCUUUCCUUUCUCUGUGGUCUUUUCAUGUAGAUAAAUCAACUUCAGAGCCACAGACAAUUUGGGGACUCUUAAAGAAACAAAACAACAAAAACGUUAAGUCCGGUAGCCAUCCUUCCCCACUGGGGGACCUCGCACUGGUACUGCCAGAGGUAGGGCUGAAGGCUUCUUUGAACCCAGCCUCUAUUCCUACAGAGCACUAGCCUACAUACUUCAUGACUACCGAUUUUUAGGGGUUAUGUGAACCUAGCCAUCUCGCCUCACUCCAGUUCCCCCAGGUCACAAGCAGAUGAGCAUCUUGGGUACUUUCUAAAGUAUCUAAUUUUUGCAUCACACCAUGGACCUAAGAAAAAUUGAUUGAAAAGACCCUUCUUUCCUUUUUCUUUUCUUUUUUAUUUGAGGGAGGGGGAGGAAAUCGAGGACCACGAACACGCAAAGCCAGGAGAGGAGGCUUUCCUGUUCAGUAUCAAAGGGGCCGAAAGCUGAAUGGGACUCAGCAGUUAGCCCAGUCUUUGGGAAGAUUAGACAGCUUCUCUGGUCUCCCUGCUCCCCCGCUACAGCCUGGGGCCAUCACUUUACGCAGGGCGGGCAAGAGCAAUAUUAGCCCCACUAUCAUUGGUACCUUGCCCUCGAAGUUCCUUUUGGACCUGAGCAGGAGGCGAAAGAACAAACAAACAAACAAAAACAAUACGGACCCAACGCGGCCGCGAGCAUCCCGCCGCGUGGAGGAACACUCACCAGCCCGUAUAUCUUGCCGUCCGCGCUCAUGCAGAGGUACCGCACGCUGCUGACGUCCUUGAUGGCAAUCGUCUUCAGAGCGACCGCGCGGAAUUCCAACAAAUCUGCGAGCAAGAGAAAGAUGUUGCCGGGCCCCAGCAACACUCCACAGAGCCGUCGCUCCGGAUUCGGAGGAAGCAGUUGGAGACAUAGGGACCAGCGGAGUACAGGUACUGCAGGCGGGUAAUCUUGCCCCAGCCGUAGAGAAAGAGUGGAUCUUCAUCUGACACAGACUGGGAUUGCUGAGCCAGGGGACGCCCAGACACAGCCAGCCACAGAGUGGCCAGGACCAGGGCUCGGGCCACCGCACGCCCGUUCCACUUUCUCGCCAUGACACCUCGGGGUCCUGAAGGCCGUUACAAAGGUGGCGCGGAGACUGCGAUGCGGCGGGGACUCAAGUUGCAGGCGCAGGGCAGGCACAACCCACAAAGCAACUGGGCGCUUGUGGCGUGGGGCGCACAGAGUUACUGCUCCGACAGUGGGGUGGCUCCGGGCACGCGGCCUUAUAUACGUUUCGUCCCGCGGGCCCCGCGGGUAGGUGACCCGGGCAUCAGAGCAUUUCUCCUCCUAAUUGCAUCAAGUCUCCGCCCCCCGCACACACCCAUUCAAGCCCCAACCCAGUGACCCCGCCCAGGCCGGCCAGAUCUGGCAGAGGAGGAGCCCCCCCUUUGCGACCCUGGCCUGGGGAGCAAGUGUUCAAUGCACAGUAUCUUGGUGGUUAUUGAAUAGGCUAUUUUAAUUUUACUAUUAAUUAUUGAGGUCUUCAGGCCCUGGGCUUUCAGAGGGAUGCGCGUGGGACAGUCACAGAGACUAGAAGGCACGCAGAGCUCUGCCUCCGUAGCCCCCUGUUUGAGUCUUGAAUCUCUCCUUUAGCACGCUAUCGCAGAUCCUACCCUCCCUCAUUCUCCCGGCCCCAGACCUAGGCUCCCUUUUCAUGGAUAUUUGCCCUACAAGGUGGAGACCUCGUGAGAACGUGUCGCACGCACUAGGUGGCGCUUCAGCCCUAGUUUCGGUCUCCAAUGUGCUGCCAGUCGCUGUCUGCACGUCCUCUGCCUGCCUCGCGCGUGGACUCCACAAGUGGAAUGUCACUGGGGCUGCGACUUUUGAGAAGGGUGGACUGACCAGCGUGCAGAAGCACGGCAGGCCGCGGGAUCCCCUCUUGGGUCGAUGAUCAGGCCCUUGAGUCUGUGCGCGGGGGACAGCUGCGUACCGGAGAGGAGGGGGCCAGCUAGGAGCAACGGUGGACGCUGCUGGCGGCCGGUCAGGUGGGAGGAGAAUGGGGGCUUCUCCUAGAGCCGCUCUUGCAAAGAAAAGGAGGCAGCCUGCAGAGAAUUCCCCUGCCUGAAAGAAAGGGUCCUCGCAGGGGGCUUUGGCUCAGCGCUUAUCCUUUCUCAUUAUGCCUCCAACCCCCCAACUCCUGUAUGUGGGGCCCCAGGAGGCUGGUUUGGGUAAAAAGGUACUGGCCUAGCUCCGUGGUGAUGGGAGGUCUGUCUGCAGGGGCGGGACAGCAGAGAAAUGGCAGAUCUGAUGAAUCUCAAUGAGGAACACGCCACUUUCAGACGCCAUCAGUGACUGGCAUUAAUGACGGAGCUCUGGGAGAAUGUCAUCAGGAAAGCCUUUACAAAAAGACAUCACCGAAGGCUCUCAGGACCGGGGACUCCCAUGCUGUGAGGCUUGUUUUAGAGAGCGAUGUCUCCUGUAAAAUCUAAUUACUUCUCCCUUGUGAUUCUCAAUCGACAGCGCGGGCUAUUAAUCUUAAUUGCCUUCUCCUGACGCUUUUGUUUUAAUGUCCGUGAUAAAUGUGGGGUACCAGGGAGGUUGGCAGAGGCUUUACUGAAGAGUCCCCCCAAAUUGGGCUGGAGGGUGGCAUGCGGGUGGCAGCACCCCAUCCCCACUCUGCGCCCUUCUCAGGGACUCCCAGAAGAGUUAGAGAUGUUGGUAAUGGAGUGAUCAGAGGAAAGUCUGUUGGGUCACUGGGGGCCGCCAUAAGAACAUUCUUCUCCAGGGCGGGUUUUACUUCCACCUCUGAACAAGGUAGAAAAUGGGACUCUGGAAAGUGACAGAGCGCCCCCAAGGAUGCACAUCGUAAGAGGUGAAGAUGGAGCCUUGUUUGUGACAAAGGCAGGAUGGCCUGUCUCAGAGCACAGGAGUGACAGUGGAUCCACAGAUGGCUACUCCCUGGGCACAUGGUGAACUCUUGCCAGUUACAUCAGCCUGCUUUUGGGCUUAACUUGUGUUGUUUGGAAGAGUAGACAUAGGAGUCCUAAGAUCUCUCUGUGUAUAGAAGAGCCUGUGCUUUUCACACGGAGAGCGAGAGUCUAUUAAGUGGCUUUUUAUAAUUACAGCAAUGUGGGAACGAAUCGCAGGGUGUGAGGUGGGCGUGCCCAGGAAAUUCUGAUCACCACUCCUAGGUUUUGGGGAUAUCCCCCCUCCCCGGGAGAAAAUUGAAGGAAAAGAAAGAAAGAAAGAAAGAAAGAAAGAAAGAAAGAAAGAAAGAAAGAAAGAAAGAAAGAAAGAAAGAAAGAAAGAAAGAAAGAAAGAAAGAAAGAAAGAAAAGGGAAAGCGAUUUUUUGCAAGCAGGGGGCGCUGUUGUUACUUUAUAGACUCUCUUGAUGAAAGAGAAGGUGCCUGCUGCUUUCUGCGGCCUCUGGAUGCAGAUCUAGUCCCCAGGAAUCUCCAGAGCCUGUGUGGUGCUGAGACUGGGUUUCUAAUCUGUCAUCUCAGGGACUGUGUGGUAUGGGGGGGAGCAGUGGCAGAACUCCUGUGGCCUCUGCUGUUUUCUCGGGGCCCAUGCUGGACAGAUGGCCAGAAGGGCUUGGUUUAGGGGCUUUUUUGUUUGAUUGAAAACAAACAAAAACAAAACAAAAGGCCACAAAACUUUUUAUUCUUU